This 274-nucleotide long non-coding RNA is filed under the name Homo sapiens (human). RNAcentral describes it as "HSALNT0033733". The record is from RNAcentral. Lineage: Eukaryota; Metazoa; Chordata; Mammalia; Primates; Hominidae.
UUUAAAAGGAGUUUUUUUGAAGCUUUGUAAUUACAUUGAAAGUAUAUUUGUUUCCUUGAAAACAAUUUUUUGAAAAGUGAAUAAUAAUAUAAUACAGCUUUCAAAUUACUUUAUGCUGUUACUUUAUUUCUAUUGUAUUCACAUGUGAAAGUAUGUGAUCAGUUGUUGCUGUAUCAGAGAUAUUAGAGAUUCUUUAUUAGUUGGGCAUUCUUUAUGACCUUUUCUAUAAAAGAGUAAGGACAUUAAAAUGUAAGAUGCAUGAUAAAAAUAUAAG